GAGUUUGAUCCUGGCUCAGGAUGAACGCUAGCGGCAGGCUUAACACAUGCAAGUCGAGGGGUAACAGGGUAGCAAUACUGCUGACGACCGGCGCACGGGUGAGUAUCGCGUAUGCAACCUACCUUUAACUGGAGAAUAGCUUCGAGAAAUCGGAAUUAAUACUCCAUAACAUUUUAGAAAGGCAUCUUUCAGAAAUUAAAGCUACGGUGGUUAAAGAUGGGCAUGCGUAACAUUAGCUAGUUGGUGAGGUAACGGCUCACCAAGGCUACGAUGUUUAGGGGGUCUUAAAGGAUGAUCCCCCACACUGGUACUGAGACACGGACCAGACUCCUACGGGAGGCAGCAGUGAGGAAUAUUGGUCAAUGGACGCAAGUCUGAACCAGCCAUGCCGCGUGCAGGAUGAAGGCCUUACAGGUCGUAAACUGCUUUUAUACGGGACGAAACCCUUGAACGUGUUCGAGGCUGACGGUACUGUAUGAAUAAGCAUCGGCUAACUCCGUGCCAGCAGCCGCGGUAAUACGGAGGAUGCAAGCGUUAUCCGGAUUUAUUAGGUUUAAAGGGUGCGUAGGCGGAAUAAUAAGUCAGUGGUGAAAUCCUGCAGCUUAACUGUAGAACUGCCAUUGAAACUGCUAUUCUUGAGUCUAGUUGAAGUGGGCGGAAUGUGUCAUGUAGCGGUGAAAUGCAUAGAUAUGACACAGAACACCGAUUGCGUAGGCAGCUCACUAAACUACAACUGACGCUGAGGCACGAAAGCGUGGGGAUCAAACAGGAUUAGAUACCCUGGUAGUCCACGCCGUAAACGAUGAUUACUCGAUGUAUGCGAUAAACUGUAUGCGUCUGAGCGAAAGCAUUAAGUAAUCCACCUGGGGAGUACGAUCGCAAGAUUGAAACUCAAAGGAAUUGACGGGGGCCCGCACAAGCGGAGGAACAUGUGGUUUAAUUCGAUGAUACGCGAGGAACCUUACCUGGGCUUAAAUGCAGUAUGACUUUUCUGGAAACAGAUUUUCUCUUCGGAGCAGAUUGCAAGGUGCUGCAUGGUUGUCGUCAGCUCGUGCCGUGAGGUGUCGGGUUAUUCCCAUAACGAGCGCAACCCCUAUUAUUAGUUGCCAGCGGGUAAUGCCGGGGACUCUAAUAAGACUGCCAGUGUAAACUGUGAGGAAGGUGGGGAUGACGUCAAAUCAGCACGGCCCUUACGUCCAGGGCUACACACGUGUUACAAUGGCCGGUACAAAGAGCAGCUACUUAGUGAUAAGGUGCUAAUCUCAAAAACCGGUCUCAGUUCGGAUCGAAGUCUGCAAUUCGACUUCGUGAAGCUGGAUUCGCUAGUAAUCGUAGAUCAGCAAUGCUACGGUGAAUACGUUCCCGGGCCUUGUACACACCGCCCGUCAAGCCAUGGAAGCUGGGGGUACCUAAAGUUCGUAACCGUAAGGAGCGACCUAGGGUAAAACUAGUGACUGGGGCUAAGUCGUAACAAGGUA
This 1478-nucleotide ribosomal RNA is filed under the name metagenome. RNAcentral's name for it is "bacterial SSU rRNA". It matches the Rfam family "Bacterial small subunit ribosomal RNA". The record is from RNAcentral.